AUGCCACGAAGCUAUUUUUACCGGCCAACGGCUCGCGUUGAAGAAAUACCCCCUUUUCACCGAAAAAUAAGCAGCGUGCAAGACCGAAAUCGUGUGCAGCCCUGGCCAAGCCCUGAUGAAGCUGCACUGGCACGUCCUGGCAGCAGCUCAGAAGUGUCUAGCUGUGUGCUCAGCUGUUUACCCAGCCUCCAGAGCCUGCAGCCAUACAAAAGCAUGGCGUUGCCAACACAAAGGAACACAAAGAGCUGUCCUGUCCUUUCCGCCGGGGCUGUCCGCAGCAGUGAGCGCACACCGUGUCCCCACGGCACGGCUGGAGACUUCCCACCGCCGGGCUGCCGCCGGGCCCGGCAGCUGCUGCUGCAGGUCACGCGGUGGGCUGGUUUCCUCUCCAACUGGCCACCGGCUGAGCCACGGCUCCUGGUGCUUUCUGCUGUAGGCAAGAUAUAAAGGUGAGCUCUGGUCAACUUUUGGGGCCAACACCGUCUUACACACGCUGCAACUGGGGGAUGCAGCUUGGUUAUUAGCUGCUCCAGAUGUCACCUCUCUCUCUCAAAGUCUCCCCUUUUCUGGCCCAAUGCUAGGAAAAAAAAAAAAAAAAAAAAAGCAUGAGGACAAGUAUUAGUGGCCCUAAUUGGCCUUAAUAUGAUCUUAGAUUAUUUGGAUACAAUCUCUGACCAAAGUAGCUGAAUUGUCAGGAAGAUGCAAGCUCCACUGACCAGUCUUCAACUUUUUUGCAGCAUAACUUUUCUGUAGGGAACCUUUUUCAGUGGAGUUGAAGGCUGUGUCCACUCUCCAGUGGGCAUUCAUAAUAUCAUUGCUCCCAUUGUUCACAGAGGGUAUUUUGGCA
Molecule: long non-coding RNA, 847 nt
Filed under: Anser brachyrhynchus (Pink-footed goose)
Lineage: Eukaryota; Metazoa; Chordata; Aves; Anseriformes; Anatidae
Description: lncRNA (ENSABRG00000006534.1)
Source: RNAcentral